RNAcentral lists this ribosomal RNA (484 nucleotides) under uncultured bacterium. RNAcentral's name for it is "partial 16S ribosomal RNA". It matches the Rfam family "Bacterial small subunit ribosomal RNA", at positions 30 to 507 of the family's 1533-position model. The record is from RNAcentral.
AUUGAACGCUGGCGGCAGGCCUAACACAUGCAAGUCGAGCGGAUGAAGGGAGCUUGCUCCUGGAUUCAGCGGCGGACGGGUGAGUAAUGCCUAGGAAUCUGCCUGGAAGUGGGGGAUAACGUCCGGAAACGGGCGCUAAUACCGCAUACGUCCUGAGGGAGAAAGUGGGGGAUCUUCGGACCUCACGCUAUCAGAUGAGCCUAGGUCGGAUUAGCUAGUUGGUGGGGUAAAGGCCUACCAAGGCGACGAUCCGUAACUGGUCUGAGAGGAUGAUCAGUCACACUAGAACUGAGACACGGUCCAGACUCCUACGGGAGGCAGCAGUGGGGAAUAUUGGACAAUGGGCGGAAGCCUGAUGCAGCCAUGCCGCGUGUGUGAAGAAGGUCUUCGGAUUGUAAAGCACUUUAAGUUGGGAGGAAGGGCAGUAAGUUAAUACCUUGCUGUUUUGACGGUACCAACAGAAUAAGCACCGGCUAACUUCGUG